UUUCCCUUUUAGAGCUGAGAGUGUGCUUUAAGAGGCUAACACAGAAGGGGAAAGAAAAGCUCCAUAAAACCUAGAGAAGAGACUGCCUGGAGUCACAGCU
Molecule: small nucleolar RNA, 100 nt
Organism: Oryctolagus cuniculus (rabbit)
Lineage: Eukaryota; Metazoa; Chordata; Mammalia; Lagomorpha; Leporidae
Source: Ensembl